Long non-coding RNA from Oreochromis aureus, 3982 nucleotides. The record is from Ensembl. NCBI's taxonomy places the organism in Eukaryota, Metazoa, Chordata, Actinopteri, Cichliformes, Cichlidae.
GCCUUCUGGUUAAACGCUUCAAGCUGGAAAAAUAACCAAAGAGAAAAACGAUUUAUGAUGACACAAUGAUGACGGCUGUCACAACAGGAAACUCAGAGCAUAAAGCAGGGAAACAUUUCAAGAUUAUAGCAGAGAUAAUGUAAAACAUCGCAACUGACUGAGAUCAGGAUUAUGAAACUGAGAUUCAGAUGAAGUAAUGAUACUCAGAAAAGUAUAUCUAAGGUUUUAAAUGACAUUAAUGACAGCUGUUACAGAUGCAGGGCAUCAGCCAUGUCUUCAAAUGUUUAAAAUUCUAAAAAUGGAAAUGAUUUUGGUGACAUGCAACAGCGUCUGCUUAUGAAUAUAAUACAUACUGACACAUCUUAAGUGUCUCAGACUCUAUUGGGAAUUCUGCUGAAGUUGAUCCUUGGACCAAAAACACACAAGAAAUACUUUGAGCUUCCUACAGUUUUAGUUUUAGUAAAGAAAAAAAUAAAGUAAUAAUCCAUCCCCAGAAUUAGAUCUUUUUUAAUUUUUUGCACAACAAAAUUUAAUAAAGUUAUGCAAAAUUUUACCACCAUUCAACUAAAGGUUUCUGAUUUAGAGCAUCUUAAAGUAUAUAUGGAGCAUUUUAAUAUGUAAAAUACAUUCAUAAGUACAGGAGAUAAAACAAAUUUUUAGGGCCGAUAAAGCAGACAAAACAUCCAGGGUGCCAAUACUCUGUUCCUCUAUGUCACAGAUAUUACAUGUUUUACUCUGAUACAUCCAAGAUACUGAUGCUCACAGUGGGAUUAAGAAUUUCAUGUGGAUAUCUCCUGUACUAUCCUGUAUGAGGGUUAAAAAUCUAUUUUUAAAAAAAGAAAGUAAAACAAAUUUGAACCCCUUCUAACUGAAAAUGUAAUAAUUGUCCUCAGAGUCCGGGCAUUUCAUUAUCAACAACAACAACAAAAAAAACCUGGAAGACCUGAGCAAGGCAAAUAAUGGCACAACCUAACCUCUUAGCAUGACAUGGCCUUGAGAGCUGGCCAAACCGACUGUCCACCAACCUUUUUCCUCAGGUUCGCCUUUAUUUCCUCCUCUGUUAGCUGCGGCUUCUCCUCUUUUAUCUCCUCAGUGCUGGGGUCAUUACCCACAGUCUUUGUGCAUACCUUUGAGUCCUGUGGUGCCAGUGGUGACUUUAAUGCAUUAUUGUGUUUCUCUAAAAUACCUUUGGGAUUCCUGAAAUCUCCCAUAAGUUCUUUGUGACCCCGUCUCCAGUUGUGUCUACCUGUGAGGCUCUGAGAGGAUGCCUGCUCGGUAUUGAUGACUCUCAGGCAGCGAGAAACAGAGGCUGACCCAUCUUGGCCUUCGCUCACAGACAGGUCCGGGUUUGGAAAUGAGGCACUGUUCGUAAGAAGGCUGGGAUCAGGGAGAGCCAUGUUAGGUGCCACUACAGAGCCAGGAAAGUGUGGGUAAGGAUGGCCGCUGGCAGAAAGAGAGGGAGGAAUGUUAUACUGAUUAUAUGACCAGUAAGGAUUUGUAGCACCGCUGUAGUGGCCACUCUGGGUAACAGCGAAAUGUGAGUACUGAGACAAAGUGUAGUCUGGAAACGGAGAAGCAGCAGGAUGAGGAAACACGGGAUUUUGUGAAUAAGGAUAAGGAGAAAAAUGUUUCGAGUCUUUUCGCUCUCUGUCCCUCAGUGUUUCUCUGCUGUUCCGUCUAUCUCUGUGUUUCAGUCUCUCUCUGCUUCUUUCUCGCGAGCGGCUUCGUUCGGCCUUUCGCCGCCGUUUCAAAUCUCUGCUGCGAGAGCGCCGACGGCGUGAGGGGCUUGGGCUAGAGUUUCUAGAGGCUGACCUGGAGGAAGAUGAGGAAGAGGAAUUUCUGUGAUCUCUAAGGGAGCGUGUCUGCUGUGUCUCGUCCUCCCCUCUGCUGUCAGUCCUCCUCCUCCCUUCACUCUUCCUCACCCUCCCUUCGCUCUUCCUCCCAUGCAUUCUCUCCUGACUCUCGUCUGUUUUGCUGCUCCGCAGAGGAGAGCGUGACGACUUCCUGCGAUCUCGGUCACGAGAGUGCUUCUGGCGGCUCUCGUGCUCCUCUCUGCUGUUCGCACGUUCGUUUUUCCUCCCACAAAGCCUCUCCUGAGUGCGGUUUGCCAGUUUGCUCAGCUCGUUCACGUCCAGGUUCCAUCCCAGAGUUUUAAGAAUGCUCUGCAGCUGUUCAUGCUGCUCACUCACCGAUGAGGUUUCUUCUUUUUCCUCUUCCUCCUCCUUCUUCUUCUUCACUGCCACCGGCGACUUUGAUCGAUUACUAGAGCCCAAACUGUGGUCUCUUUUGCCCUUCUUCUUCUUCUCCUCAUCACCAGGUGGUGAUGUAACGCUUCGGCUGGAAGGAGGCCACGUGAUGUCAGGGCCCUGAGAAAGGUCGGAAAUUCACUUUAUUGUUGAACCAGCAGAUUUGUGGUGAGAAGCUCAGAUGCUGUCAUAAAAAGGAUAAUUACACGCUGCCAUGAUCCAGAUCUCAGAGCCUUCACUCUGAGCUUCAGAGGAUGCUGUUCCUGCAGCACACCACCUUUGCUCCGGCAGGAAGAGCUCCUUCUCUCUCUGGCUAACUGCACCUGAAUAAUAGAAAAAGAAAGCUCUACAGAUGAACGAGAUUUUUGAAAUUGUGACACUGAGUCACUACGAGUCUACAAGUGAGGUGGUUUCAUUUCUUUUAUUUUAUAACAGGCAUUGUGUUUUUUAGCACUGAAAAUCUCGUGUAGAUAUUUCCUGUACAAAAAAAAAAAUAAUGCAAAAAUUCUAUGUACCCAACUCAGAAAGUAUUUAUAAUAUGAAGGUCAUAUUUUUUGUUAUCCAAAUGAACAGAAACAAAAGAACAAAAACAUCUGAUUCUAAGGGGAUCAAGUGGGUCGUGCAAAAAAAGAAACGCACUUUACUCUGAGAGUCUAUUCAGUGCUCCUCACCUUUGAGAAAUAGCUGAGAUAUUGUCGCUGCAUCAGAAUCUCCUUCACUCUGUCUCUUAGAGUUUGACCUACACACAUAGCCGGCUGCUUGUCACCAGAAACACCUGGUGGUGUCUCCACAAACUGCGUUUUCAUGGCGAGGGUAGCUUUCUUGUGCAUAAUUCUCUCCUCCAUCUCUCUGAGGAGCUGCUGCUUUCUUGCUAGCUCUACAUCCUCUUCACUGUAUGGCAGCGGCUCUCCAUCCGGGUCCUCCACCUCUGGGACUUUACUAUGAACAUGAUGAGAUGAAGGACUGAGCUCUUUCCACCUCACAUCACUCCUUUGUGGUUCAGGAACAGUAUAUCUCGAGUGUUCAUGGUAAGUGUCCCAGUCUCUGUGACCUCUGGAGGCAUUCCCCAUGCUGUGGCAGCUUGGCUCCAGAAGUCUCUGGAGUCUGUGGACAGCAUCUUUCCACUCACGUUGAUUCAUUCUGCAGUCCAAGUGUCUAAAGCAGAAACAGUAAGUAAGAAAUAUGCAGCAAGUAUGGGUAAAAGUAGAUGUGUAUGUAUAUUGUGGAACCAUUACCUCCUCACAUAAUGUAAACACAAAGACAUAAAGGCUAUUUUGGAACCAGCAUCGAGCUUUCAUGCUUUCUUUAUACUUAUUUCACAGUUCCACAGCAAAACCCUCAGCGUUAGCUUACAUGAAAGCUCCUAAUGAGCAAACACAGAGCCAACCAAAGUAACCAAGUAACAACCAAACCCGGCAGCCGUCACAUUACAGCAGCUACUCGUUAACGUGUGGAUAGUCGGUGUAACAGACUGAAAGGUGUUUACACAACUUAGCAUCAUUGCUGAAGAAAAAAAAAAGACUGGUAACCUACUAUUGCCGGGCAAACGAGAGCUUCGUCUUUUACAUCGUGGAAAGAUAUUUCAUUUUUAAACUGGGAGCCACACGGACGAAGGACGGUGAAACUCCAACAUUAGAGACGUUUCGGCAGAAAAAAAUGGAAACCAUUAAAGCUAAACAAGCUUCUAGUGUUAACAGAAAGAGGCCAUUACUGAUCACACUGCUUCGGUGGUGUAG